Molecule: ribosomal RNA, 1978 nt
Filed under: human gut metagenome
Description: bacterial LSU rRNA
Rfam family: Bacterial large subunit ribosomal RNA
Source: RNAcentral
GGGGGGACCAUCCUCCAAGGCUAAAUACUCGUGAUCGACCGAUAGCGUACUAGUACUGUGAAGGAAAGGUUAAAAGAACCCCGGGAGGGGAGUGAAAUAGAUUCUGAAACCGCAUGCAUACAAACAGUAGGAGCCCUUCGGGGUGACUGCGUACCUUUUGCAUAAUGGGUCAGCGACUUAUGUUAUGUGGCAAGCCUAACCGACUAGGGGAGGCGCAGCGAAAGCGAGUCCGAACAGGGCGAUUCAGUCGCAUGGCAUAGACCCGAAACCAGAUGAGCUAACCAUGGCCAGGCUGAAGGUGUGGUAACACACACUGGAGGGCCGAACCUACUGGUGUUGCAAAACCAGAGGAUGAGCUGUGGUUAGGGGUGAAAGGCUUAACAAAUCUGGAGAUAGCUGGUUCUCCCCGAAAACUAUUGAGGUAGUGCCUUGUAUAUGAGCUUCUGGGGGUAGAGCACUGUUAUAGCUAGGGGGACAUGGCGUCUUACCAAACUAUGGCAAACUCCGAAUACCAGAAAGCUUCGUACAGGAGACAGAGCACCGGGUGCUAACGUCCGGACUCAAAAGGGAAUCAACCCAGACCGCCAGCUAAGGUCCCUAAUAUCAGCUAAGUGGAAAACGAAGUGGAAAGGCUAAAACAGUCAGGAAGUUGGCUUAGAAGCAGCCAUCCUUCAAAGAAAGCGUAAUAGCUCACUGAUCGAGUCCUUCCGCGCGGAAGAUGUAACGGGGCUAAGUUGAUAACCGAAGCUGCGGAUUCAUACUUUUAGUGUGAGUGGUAGGGGAGCGUUCUGUAAGCCUGCGAAGGUGGAUCGUAAGGUCUGCUGGAGGUAUCAGAAGUGCGAAUGCUGACAUGAGUAACGAUAAAGCGGGUGAAAAGCCCGCUCGCCGCAAACCCAAGGUUUCCUGCUCUACGUUAAUCGGAGCAGGGUGAGUCGGUUCCUAAGGCCAGGCUGAGAAGCGUAGCUGAUGGAAAUCAGGUUAAUAUUCCUGAACCGGCGUUGAAUGCGAUGGGGUGACGGAGCAGCCAGAGUGGACCGGGUGUUGGAUGUCCCGGCUUCCGAGCGAUGGGUGCCUGCAGGCAAAUCCGCAGGCGUAUACCCAGGACGAAGGAUCGGGUCUUCUUUUGAAGACGAAGCCACUGGAAGCGCUUCCAGGAAAAACCUCUAAGCUUCAGUUCAACGGCGACCGUACCGUAAACCGACACAGGUGGGUGAGCUGAAUAUGCUCAGGCGCUUGAGAGAACUCGGGAGAAGGAACUCGGCAAAUUGACACCGUAACUUCGGAAGAAGGUGUGCCUUUGUAGCUUGAUGGGAGAGAAACCCAAAGGGCGAAGAGGUCUCAGAGAAUCGGUGGCUGUAACUGUUUACUAAAAACACAGCGCUCUGCAAAGAUGAAAGUCGACGUAUAGGGCGUGAUGCCUGCCCGGUGCUGGAAGAUUAAUUGAUGGGGUGCAAGCUCCUGAUCGAAGUCCCAGUAAACGGCGGCCGUAACUAUAACGGUCCUAAGGUAGCGAAAUUCCUUGUCGGGCAAGUUCCGACCUGCACGAAUGGCAUAAUAAUGGCCACACUGUCUCCUCCCGAGACUCAGUGAAAUUGAAAUGUUUGUGAUGAUGCAAUCUCCCCGCGGCUAGACGGAAAGACCCCAUGAACCUUAACUGUAGCUUUGCAUUGGACUUUGAACCGAUCUGUGUAGGAUAGGCGGGAGGCUUUGAAGAAUGGACGCCAGUUCAUUCGGAGCCGUCGUUGAAAUACCGCCCUGAUUUGUUUGAGGUUCUAACCUGGGCCAGUAAUCCUGGCUGGGGACCGUGCAUGGUGGGCAGUUUGACUGGGGCGGUCUCCUCCUAAAGGGUAACGGAGGAGUGCGAAGGUACGCUAAUCACGGUCGGAAAUCGUGAGGAUACUGCAAUGGGAAAAGCGUGCCUGACUGCGAGACAGACAAGUCGAGCAGAUGCGAAAGCAGGUCAUAGUGAUCCGGUGGC